RNAcentral lists this ribosomal RNA (301 nucleotides) under uncultured bacterium. RNAcentral describes it as "partial 16S ribosomal RNA". It matches the Rfam family "Bacterial small subunit ribosomal RNA", at positions 509 to 807 of the family's 1533-position model. The record is from RNAcentral.
CAGUAGCCGCGGGAAAACGGAGGGUGCAAGCGUUAAUCGGAAUUACUGGGCGUAAAGCGCACGCAGGCGGUUUGUUAAGUCAGAUGUGAAAUCCCCGAGCUCGACUUGGGAACUGCAUUUGAAACUGGCAAGUUAGAGUCUUGUAGAGGGGGGUAGAAUUCCAGGUGUAGCGGUGAAAUGCGUAGAGAUCUGGAGGAAUACCGGUGGCGAAGGCGGCCCCCUGGACAAAGACUGACGCUCAGGUGCGAAAGCGUGGGGAGCAAACAGGAUUAGAGACCCCGGUAGUCCCUGUCUCUUAUAC